Long non-coding RNA from Drosophila yakuba, 4301 nucleotides. RefSeq lists it as uncharacterized. The transcript is spliced from 2 exons. The record is from RefSeq and is a predicted model, not a curated record. NCBI's taxonomy places the organism in Eukaryota, Metazoa, Arthropoda, Insecta, Diptera, Drosophilidae.
AAAAUGGGUGGUAUUAAGUUUGGACCAUAAAACAGUUUAGCAGUAACCUUUUAAUUUAGGAAAAGAUCUGAAAAUUGAAAAAGGAGCAAGUAGCUUUUAAUGUUUUCAAUAAGUUUAUCGGACGUAUAUUUAAGAAGUAAAAGCCCAGAAUGAAAAUGGUUUUGCUACUAAUUGAAUGUUAUUCCUGUUAGCUGCUUCUUAUUUAUUGACCUACCGAUUACACGCAAAUGUUACUGAUAGAGCAGUACGCAAGAUAUUUAGUACACUCAUGGGUGCAUUGAUAUCAAUCCAGGUCUAGUACCUACACCCCAUUGCACUUCAUUGAGCCAUUUUAUCGAUCCGUAAUUCCAUUGGCUUGCCAUAUUCCUUAUCAGCAUACCAGUUUGCUGCCAUAAAUUGACAAGCCAUAGGUGGGUAUAUAGUCGGAAAUGUUUCGGUCUGAUUAAGACCUCAACUGUGUGAUUUGAUUAGAUUUCUUGUUCCUGGCCAGAGCCAAAGAAAAACAAGUGCUCCGCAACGUGGUCAGGAGUGCACCCUCGGCAAUAUGGCAUUUCAAUCAUUUCCAUUGUCCAGUUCCCAGUUAGGAGUGCAUUUAAUACCGGCUAUUAUGGAGCCAGUACGUCUCUGCAAGGACUGCUCAACAACAGCUUGUGCUUGUUACAUAUUUCGCAGGACAUAUUGCACACAAGUUUUCCUGUUGUGCUGAGAGGAAACCCUUUCAGAAUUUGAUUCGUUGUGUGUGUCUACAAGUUGCCAAACAAAUAAAAAUGACUUGAUUCAAUUGAAUUUGUGCAACGCAACGAUAUGAAAUGGGGACGACAACAGUGACGAGUGGGAAUAUUGUGACAUAUAUGGGUUUACUUGUGUGUCCGUGGGCGGUGGUCUUCCCUGGGUCCCCUGCGUGUGGUCACCAAACAGUGCACGAUUUUUCAUAUUUUUUCAAUUACGCACAAGAGUUUCAACUUGACAUUCGACCGCAAUAAUCCCCGGAGAUUUUGUGGCAGGCAUGGAAACAGUUGCUUUCAAAAAUUUGCAAUUCGAAUUAUUGAUAAUCUGUCAAAGGCUUAUGGUACAAGUUGAGUAAGUCAAUAUGUGUGCUGAAAUAACCGAUUGAUGGCCACUAUUUUAAAAACAAUUAAUUCAAAUUUAAGUAAUAAUUCUUUAAUUCUGAUAGUUGUAAGAAUUGAAUCUAUCAAUUUAAUUAAGCUUCGAUUAAGAUUGUCAUUACUAGAAGCUGCUGCCUGAUCAAGUAUGUCCCUUUAUAGGUUUGGAAACGAUUAUUUCCAGCCUAUUAAAUACUUUUUAAACAAAUCAGGUACAUCUUUUUACUCUCCAAUUGCCGGGUAUAAAUAAUGUAAGAUAUCAAACUUAAAACAACAAUUUUUCGAUAGGUUCUGGACGGAGAAGCUGUUAAAGACUACCCCUAGUCACCAUUUCAAGAGUACAAUUUGUUGUCCCUAUUUUUCGACUUCUCGACUUUUUCUAGCUGUGCUUAACGGCGGUAUUUAAGGGGUUAAGUUGUUAGCAAGCUUCUAUGAAUUGAUGUCAUCUGCGCGGCAGCUGUCCCAUUAAUAUGUAAAUGGCGCACAUAAGUAUGCUACGGAAAACACGAUAAAUCUUUAAAAUCAAAGGCACGACGAUGAAGCAAACGAAAAGACUUUUCUGAAUCUAGAAAGGGGCGAGACGAGGGCGGGAAAAGUAGAUGGUGGGGGUGGCACAAACUUGGCAAAUUCAAAGUGAAAGUCGAGCGUCUACUGUGAAUAGAAACGGAGGCUGCGAGAGCGUUUUCUUUGCUAUUUGUGUGCAGCGAGGCACUUGUACACACAUAUAUGUAUGUAUGCAAGCAAUUGACGCCUCCCUUUGGCCAUGCCCCCGGCCAUAUCUCGUUUAAACGGUUUUUGGCACCGACUGAGUGAGUGAGUGCAUGUAUGAGUGCAUUUGAGUGCACUCUGCCAAUAAUGCGCACAAUUUAAGUUUCGGCAAACACGCCCAGGCACUGGCAUUAGGCAAGAAAUUUGAAGAGAGCUCCUCAAUUGAAGGGAAAAUUUUGUGAAAACUUGCCAACUUCUCGGUCCCAUAACUCAUUAUUCAAAAGACACAAAAGUGGAAUCGAAAAGAGGCGACGAGAUUCGAGAUAUUUCAACGCUCAUAAAACUUCAGCAUGAGCGCAGAAAAGCAUUCAUUAUGCACAAACGUACACUUAUACUCGGUUGAACACUUUAUGAAAUUAUAAUGUAUAACAAUAUUCAAUACCAUGAUUUGGUAAAUAACUAAAAGACAUUUUAAAGGAAGUCACCAUAUUAUAAUAAACUAUAACAAACCAAGUAUGUAUAUAUAUCGAUGCGUUUGUAGAUUACCGUAUAAAGACAUAUAAAAUGACUCCACAAUAAGUUAGAAGCGUUAGGUGUCAAAAGAGCAGUUUCAGUUCAGACACUCUUCUCUGAGUGUACUCAUAUUCAUACUCAGAAAUGGAUGUGAGAGGGCGACAGGUAACUCCCAUUCAUUUCCUGGUUCGAGCUCAUGAAUAAAUGAAUUUAUAUCGACUCUUCUUGGCAUUUGCACUGCUCCGCUUAUCCAAAGGGAAAAUCCGUGGACUUGGGUAACAAGGGGUUGAGGGGUCCGGAUAUGCCCAUAUGCUCUGGCUAGACAGUGGGGGUGGCAGCGAGGGGCGGUGGACAGUGGGCGGUGGGCUGACGACCCCAAUCCCAAUGCACCAACCGAAUGCAAUCGAAAUUGGACUUGAGCCGUUUGAAGUGUUUUCGUAAAUCAAUUUCAGAUCCAUUAAGCUGCAAGAUGUGCAUAUAAUACACGAAUGGUUGCGGAUAGGAACGUGUGGAUUGGAGUAAAAAUAUGAUGUACUAGUAAUGUGCUUUUUACAUACAUAUGUACACAUUUUGUUUUAUAUAUAUUUAAUUAUGUGGUUGGAAAACUAUAAUAACUACUUUAGGAAAAUAUUUUACGUUGCUCUUACCCCAGUAUUAAGAUACAGUCAGCUUUGAUGCGUCUCCCUAUGUAUGCAAAAUAAUUAUAGCUUUUAAAUAGCUUUCAGUUGAAGUUUGAGUUCUGUGUCAGACAUCUCUUAUUCAGAAGUAUUUUUCCCGACGUCUAUAUGUAUUUUCCUACUCAAUCUCUAUCGCACCGCACCCGUCUCUUUCGCUCACUAGGGUCAAUGUGUGUGGAUUGGGUUGAAAAGUGCAACUCGUCGCAAAUUGAAUUCAAAAAACUUUAUAAAGUUAAUUUAUGCACAAUAUCAAUAAAAAUGUCUGAGCGGGAGUCGCAGAUACUACAUUUGCACUCCCCAUUCAAUGGAGUGCCAUAGAUAUAGAGCGGCGAAUGUAAAUGGCGAACGAUUUUUUGUGCCAACGCUGGCAAUUUUUUCUGAUAUGAAAAUCAGCAAAUUUUUCUUUGAUUUGCCUUUGCUCCUUGGGUCGUCAAGGAUCCGCAGGAUAACCCAGCCAAAUCUCCGUUCCCCACUGCUCAUUUGGGCAACUGUUGCCAGGAUUGCCUUGACUUUCAAAUUAAAAAAUAAAAUCCGAGCGAAGCAAAUCCUCAGCGGAAGCGAAAAAAUGUUUUCCUCCGACUUUUCCGCUCAUCGAUUUGGUGCUGCAAUUUGUUGCUGUCAUAAAAAUUGUGUAAUGUGCUUAAUGAAAUUUUUUUAAUAACACAAUUUGAGGGCACGUGAGUUUAGCGGCGCAAAAUGUGUUGUACAACAAAGGCAAACUGUUGCACAUCAAACGAUGGAUGUCAAUGUGCUACACAUUACACGGCCACAAAAUAUAUGCAAAAAGUACAAAAAACACAAGCCAGACGUCGGCAUUUCAAUAAACCAAAGUUACGCAACAACGAGGGUCCUGCAUGCACUUCCUCAUUGCUUAUAUUCGCAUUUAAAACACUUUUUUACGCGACCAAAGCAAUCGCACAAGUAUGCCAAGCAUUUAAUGGCAGGCCCAGACGGGAAAACGGAUGCAAGCAAAACACUUAAUACAUUUUAUAUAUUUUAUGCUGCCAGGAAGUCGGCGCAAAGAUCACACAGCAUUUGCUGUUUGUUUGCCGGCUAAGUCACUUGCUAAAUUCAAAGCAAACAAGAAUUAUAAACGAUGAAUUUAAUUUGGAGCUCGUUUUCUAUUUGCUGUUCGCCUUUGACCUGACGCCUUGAAAAUUGUCAGGUUAAUAAAUUUCUAUAAAAUUAAAAUUUUUAAUGACUUCCCGAAAAAUGUAAGCCGCUUAUUUCUCGCUACCAAAAUGUGAUUUUGAUUUUGAAAAUAACCUGAAACGAAUGUGUACUUCACCCUAUUUUGACU